GACGAACGCUGGCGGCGUGCUUAACACAUGCAAGUCGAACGGAAAGGCCCUGCUUGCAGGGUACUCGAGUGGCGAACGGGCGAGUAACACGUGGGUGAUCUGCCCUGCACUUCGGGAUAAGCCUGGGAAACUGGGUCUAAUACCGGAUAGGAGCCAUUUUUAGUGUGAUGGUUGGAAAGUUUUUUCGGUGUAGGAUGAGCUCGCGGCCUAUCAGCUUGUUGGUGGGGUAAUGGCCUACCAAGGCGGCGACGGGUAGCCGGCCUGAGAGGGUGGACGGCCACAUUGGGACUGAGAUACGGCCCAGACUCCUACGGGAGGCAGCAGGGGGGAAUAUUGCACAAGGGGCGCAAGCCUGAUGCAGCGACGCCGCGUGGGGGAGGACGGCCUUCGGGUUGUAAACUCCUUUCGCUAGGGACGAAGCUUUUUGUGACGGUACCUAGAUAAGAAGCACCGGCUAACUACGUG
This 465-nucleotide ribosomal RNA is filed under the name uncultured bacterium. RNAcentral describes it as "partial 16S ribosomal RNA". It matches the Rfam family "Bacterial small subunit ribosomal RNA", at positions 28 to 507 of the family's 1533-position model. The record is from RNAcentral.